AGAGUGAACGCUGGCGGCGUGCUUAACACAUGCAAGUCGAACGAGAACGGGUUACAGCUUGCUGUAACUGUCAGCUAAGUGGCGCACGGGUGAGUAAUAUAUAGGUAACAUGCCCCAAAGAAGAGGAUAACGUUUGGAAACGAACGCUAAUACUCUAUAUGCCUUUAAGUCAUAAGACUGCAAGGGAAAUAUUUAUAGCUUUGGGAUUGGCCUGUACAGUAUCAGCUUGUUGGUGAGGUAAUGGCUCACCAAGGCUAUGACGCUUAACUGGUUUGAGAGGAUGAUCAGUCACACUGGAACUGAGACACGGUCCAGACUCCUACGGGAGGCAGCAGUGGGGAAUAUUGCACAAUGGACGAAAGUCUGAUGCAGCAACGCCGCGUGGAGGAUGACACAUUUCGGUGCGUAAACUCCUUUUAUAUAGGAAGAUAAUGACGGUACUAUAUGAAUAAGCACCGGCUAACUCCGUGCCAGCAGCCGCGGUAAUACGGAGGGUGCAAGCGUUACUCGGAAUCACUGGGCGUAAAGAGAAUGUAGGCGGGUUAAUAAGUUGGAAGUGAAAUCCUAUGGCUCAACCAUAGAACUGCUUUCAAAACUGUUGACCUAGAAUAUGGGAGAGGUAGAUGGAAUUUCUGGUGUAGGGGUAAAAUCCGUAGAGAUCAGAAGGAAUACCGAUUGCGAAGGCGAUCUACUGGAACAUUAUUGACGCUGAGAUUCGAAAGCGUGGGGAGCAAACAGGAUUAGAUACCCUGGUAGUCCACGCCCUAAACGAUGCACACUAGUUGUUGCCUUGCUCGACAAGGCAGUAAUGCAGUUAACACAUUAAGUGUGCCGCCUGGGGAGUACGGUCGCAAGAUUA
RNAcentral lists this ribosomal RNA (859 nucleotides) under uncultured bacterium. RNAcentral's name for it is "bacterial SSU rRNA". It matches the Rfam family "Bacterial small subunit ribosomal RNA", at positions 26 to 896 of the family's 1533-position model. The record is from RNAcentral.